Molecule: ribosomal RNA, 443 nt
Filed under: uncultured bacterium
Lineage: Bacteria
Description: partial 16S ribosomal RNA
Rfam family: Bacterial small subunit ribosomal RNA
Source: RNAcentral
CCUACGGGUGGCAGCAGUGGGGAAUAUUGGGCAAUGGAGGAAACUCUGACCCAGCAACGCCGCGUGAAUGAUGAAGGUCUUCGGAUUGUAAAGUUCUGUGCUGGGGGAUGAACAAAAUGACGGUACCUUAGUAGUAAGCCUCGGCUAACUACGUGCCAGCAGCCGCGGUAAUACGUAGGAGGCGAGCGUUAUCCGGAAUGACUGGGCGUAAAGGGUGCGUAGGUGGUUUGGCAAGUUGGUAGCGUAACUCCAAGGCUCAACCUUGGCACUACCACCAAAACUGUUGGACUUGAGUGCAGGAGGGGUAAGUGGAAUUCCUAGUGUAGCGGUGGAAUGCGUAGAUAUUAGGAGGAACAUCAGGGGCGAAGGCGAGUUGCUAGACUGUAACUGACACUGAGGCACGAAAGCGUGGGGAGCAAACAGGAUUAGAUACCCGUGUAGUC